UUUUGUUUACUUGGUCCUGUCGUCUGUGAUGGUUUCUGUUUUAAAAUUUUUUUAUUCUUAUCUGUUUCUAGGAAUAUGGAACCAAAUAGUUAGGGAUUUGAAAUGUGUUUGUGAAUUUGAAUAAAAGUGUUGGGAUUGAAAGAAUGAGUCGCGAAAACCGCAAGGAUAAACCGACUGCCAGAUUUUGUUUGCAAACCAGCAGUUUUCCAUUGCACAUUGAAACCAUCGAAAAGGUUAUGCUUGUGAAAUUCUGGCAUUUAGAAAGAAACCACGAUAACAUAGCCUACAAUUUAUAUGUGGCAAUAAAUUCCAUCUGAUCAUGUGGCCUGAAACUGCUGUACAUUUUCCAAAAAUUUCGUCUCUUGCUGCACGUACCGUCUGUACGCGUUUCGUCACCUGCAGAUAUACUUCAGAACAGUAAAAGUGAUUAUGUUGGUCAACUUUUGAACCCUAAGAUUACACAUUUAGCAUGGUGAAGUCUGAACUUUUUAAUUGCAGUGCAAUGUGCACAUGGAUUUGUUGCAGCCAGCUGGCGAAAGGUGUUCCUCUUGCAGGCUUGCUACCUGUACCAGUUGUAGCUUUCGUCACAUGCAG
Molecule: long non-coding RNA, 594 nt
Filed under: Daphnia pulicaria
Lineage: Eukaryota; Metazoa; Arthropoda; Branchiopoda; Diplostraca; Daphniidae
Description: uncharacterized LOC124344003, transcript variant X1
Source: RNAcentral